UCAAGGCGAGCGCCCACGCUUGGGACGAGU
This 30-nucleotide small RNA is filed under the name Bombyx mori (domestic silkworm). Its description in RNAcentral is "ovarian small RNA-24743". Lineage: Eukaryota; Metazoa; Arthropoda; Insecta; Lepidoptera; Bombycidae. The record is from RNAcentral.